Molecule: RNA transcript, 2271 nt
Organism: Nasonia vitripennis (jewel wasp)
Lineage: Eukaryota; Metazoa; Arthropoda; Insecta; Hymenoptera; Pteromalidae
Exons: 9
Source: RefSeq, a predicted model, not a curated record
CGGCAAUCUCUCCUCUCUCGCACCACACAGACAUACGGUGCUCGCACGGAUCGCGUUUUUUCUGGUUGGUCCCCAAUACAAGAAACAUUCACGGACAACAGAACAGGGUCGUUUUUCUGCAAAAUUUUAAAAAACCAGUUUGAUCGGCGUUUUGAUGUCGAAUCUCGAUCUCAAAUCGGAUCUCAAAUCAAACGAGUAAAGAGAGUCGCGAGUCGGAUGGGAAUUUCAACCUUUGUUUAUGUUUAUUUGUGUUAACAGACAUAACCAUAUAUAUAACACAACCAUACAUAAUAUUUUAAUCAAUAUCAGAAACCUCAUUGAUAAAUGGAAAACUGUUUUAAACACAGAAAAAUAAAAAUAAUAAACGAAAACCGAAACCUUGGCGCGCUUGCGUGUCGAUCAUUUCCUAGUCUUUUUUUAAUUUAGAACUAUGAAGUAUAGUAACAAGAAAAUUCUUUAUUCUAUUGCAUUUUAUUUGUAACAUGGAUGAACUAUUUACUAUAACCUAUCAUUUACUAUAUCUAUCUGCUAUAAAUUAAUCUAUUACAAAUUAAUGAUGAUGUAGAAUAUAAUAUAUUAAACUAUUAAUUCUUUAAAAAGAUCAAAUCAACCAUAAUGGGUAUGACUGAUAAGAAUUUAUGGAUUCUUAUACGAUAUUAUAAUUAUAAGGAAUCUGAUCAAAACAAUAUUGAAAGUUUGUUGCGCCAAGUCACACUUCCCUCAGUUUUCACGUUUACAGAGUUGAAAUCAGCAAUUUAUUCUUGGGCUAACAUUAAAGAAAAUCAAUCUCAUGUUAUAAAACUUAGACGCUAUGAUAAUAGUUUAGUACCACUAUCUGCAUUAUUUCAAGGAUCAUCAAAGGAAAAGCCGUUUCUUAUGGACGUUGUAAAAUUUCAUCAAUUUUGUACAGCAAAUAUCCAAUCGGUAUCGCCAGAUUAUACAAGCAUAUUUAAAUCUAAAUUAGAAGACCUUGAGAAGCGUGUUGUAGCAAUCGAAACAGCUAUUCCUGAUCUUGCUGUGAAUCAAAUAAGGACUGUGCAAAAUGCAGUUGAUAAAUUAGCCAACUGUGUUGCAUAUUUAGAUCGCAGACUAGAAGAAUUAGCACCUGCAGAUUGGAAAUCGCAAUUAGAUUGUGAAAAUUGAUGUUCCUUUGUUUGGUCAUCUAUAUAGGAUCGUCAAAUGCUAAAACUUAACUCAAUGUAUAAAAGAUAAAUUAUAACUCAUAAUGGAGGAUAUAAAUGCUUCCAGAUCCUGGAAACAAAGAUGCCUGAGCCUAAUUAAUAGGGUGGUUAUGGUUAUUUUUCAAAGCAUGCGAGUCUGUCACUAAAGCAACUUGGUACUAGAACCAGCUGUAACGCAGGCCAAGGAUGGUAAUGAGAUAUCAUGGUCUGCUGGAUCCAGAGUACUAGGAUCGAGGGCACCAGUCAAAUGCCUGAUCAUCAUUAGCACUGGAUCUUCGUUAUUGUUCGCUUUGAGAUGCUGUAUUCAUAAGAUGCAAGUUAUACCUAUGCAUUUAGUGCAUAAAAAAUGAUGAAAAAAUAAAUGGCAAGAUAAAGCAGCAAGGAUUAUUUUCAAGAAGAUGUUGUUAUUAACUUCAAGAAGAUGUUGUUAUUAUUUUCAAGAAGAUGUUGUUAUUAUUUUCAAGAAGAUGUUGUUAUUAACUAUGCAAAUUAAACAGUCUUUGAAGAUUUCUUUUAAAUUGUUUUGAAAAAAUAAUUGCCACGGUAAAAAGUUAUGUUUUUAAAACAUCUACAACUUCUAUACUUAACGUUUCCAUGUUAAAUGUUGUUAAGUGACGAAGUUCCUGGAUAAAUUAUUUAGAAAUAUUAUAUAAAAAUUACACAAAGCCAGUAAAAAGAAGAUCCAGAAACUUCGACGCUUAACUAAGCCUCGAAGAAAUGUACCCGAAACCAAAACAAACUUCUCCUCCCUCGGCUGAAGCGCGCGUGCACAGCCGACGCUGCAGUUUAGCCGUUGACCAUAGUAUUAGGCCCAUAAGGCCUAAUGAGUAAGACAAAGAGCGCGGCUAGGCUGAAGUAAGAAGAGAGGAGAAGUAAGUACCCCGCGUGGGAGAAAGCUUCGACUCUCUCUCAAGCAUCACCUCCCCCGAAACGCCACUCCAGGGUGUGCGCUCCUAGAGAAAGGACGCUAAUUUUAAGAGUUUAGAUUUUGAGUAAUUUGCCUUUGAGAAAUUCAAUAAGUUUUGUUUCAUUUGAGUGUCUGAUUUAAUUUGUGUUUUGAUAAGUUGAUAAUAAACAUCACUGCAAUCCA